UCCGUAGGUGGAUAAUUAAGUCAGAGGUGAAAUCCUGCAGCUUAACUGUAGAAUUGCCUUUGAUACUGGUUAUCUUGAGUCAUUAUGAAGUGGUUAGAAUGUGUAGUGUAGCGGUGAAAUGCAUAGAUAUUACACAGAAUACCGAUUGCGAAGGCAGAUCACUAAUAAUGUACUGACACUGAGGGACGAAAGCGUGGGGAGCGAACAGGAUUAGAUACCCUGGUAGUCC
This 229-nucleotide ribosomal RNA is filed under the name uncultured bacterium. RNAcentral describes it as "partial 16S ribosomal RNA". It matches the Rfam family "Bacterial small subunit ribosomal RNA", at positions 568 to 796 of the family's 1533-position model. The record is from RNAcentral.